Molecule: non-coding RNA, 145 nt
Organism: Gossypium raimondii (Peruvian cotton)
Lineage: Eukaryota; Viridiplantae; Streptophyta; Magnoliopsida; Malvales; Malvaceae
Source: Rfam
UAUUAAAAAAUUUAUUCAUUAUUACUGUUAAAAAUUGACAUAACUGACAGAAUAAUCAAAUAGUAACUUGUGGCAUGCCACAUGAACCUCUUGCUGACAUGCAAAGACUAGUUUUUAAUAGUAGAAAUAAAUGGCAUUUUUAAUA